UGGGGAAUAUUGGACAAUGGAGGGAACUCUGAUCCAGCAAUUCUGUGUGUGUGAAGAAGGUUUUAGGACUGUAAAACACUUUUAGUAGGGAAGAAAAAAAUGACGGUACCUACAGAAGAAGCAACGGCUAAAUACGUGCCAGCAGCCGCGGUAAUACGUAUGUUGCGAGCGUUAUCCGGAAUUAUUGGGCUUAAAGGGCAUCUAGGCGGUAAGACAAGUUGAAGGUGAAAACCUGUGGCUCAACCAUAGGCUUGCCUACAAAACUGUUGAACUAGAGUACUGGAAAGGUGGGUGGAACUACACGAGUAGAGGUGAAAUUCGUAGAUAUGUGUAGGAAUGUCGAUGAUGAAGAUAACUCACUGGACAGAAACUGACGCUGAAGUGCGAAAGCUAGGGGAGCAAACAGG
RNAcentral lists this ribosomal RNA (407 nucleotides) under Verrucomicrobiota bacterium. Its description in RNAcentral is "Verrucomicrobia bacterium partial 16S ribosomal RNA". It matches the Rfam family "Bacterial small subunit ribosomal RNA", at positions 355 to 776 of the family's 1533-position model. Lineage: Bacteria; Pseudomonadati; Verrucomicrobiota. The record is from RNAcentral.